Molecule: transfer RNA, 85 nt
Filed under: Roseiflexaceae bacterium
Lineage: Bacteria; Bacillati; Chloroflexota; Chloroflexia; Chloroflexales; Roseiflexaceae
Description: tRNA-Tyr
Rfam family: tRNA
About the family: Transfer RNA (tRNA) molecules are approximately 80 nucleotides in length. Their secondary structure includes four short double-helical elements and three loops (D, anti-codon, and T loops).
Source: RNAcentral
GGGUCGGUUCCAGAGCGGUCAAAUGGGGCGGAUUGUAACUCCGCUGGCUACGCCUUCGCAGGUUCGAAUCCUGCCCGGCCCACCA